AUUCUUAAAAUUUCGAAUCACAAA
This 24-nucleotide small nuclear RNA is filed under the name Arabidopsis thaliana (thale cress). RNAcentral's name for it is "snRNA_12511". Lineage: Eukaryota; Viridiplantae; Streptophyta; Magnoliopsida; Brassicales; Brassicaceae. The record is from RNAcentral.